Molecule: ribosomal RNA, 767 nt
Filed under: uncultured Streptococcus sp.
Lineage: Bacteria; Bacillati; Bacillota; Bacilli; Lactobacillales; Streptococcaceae
Description: bacterial SSU rRNA
Rfam family: Bacterial small subunit ribosomal RNA
Source: RNAcentral
GACGAACGCUGGCGGCGUGCCUAAUACAUGCAAGUCGAACGAGAGCGACCGGUGCUUGCACUGGUCAAUCUAGUGGCGAACGGGUGAGUAACACGUGGGUAACCUGCCUAUCAGAGGGGGAUAACAUUCGGAAACGGAUGCUAAAACCGCAUAGGUCCUUUAACCGCAUGGUUGAAGGAGGAAAAGAGGCGCAAGCUUCUGCUGAUGGAUGGACCCGCGGUGCAUUAGCUAGUUGGUGAGGUAACGGCUCACCAAGGCCGUGAUGCAUAGCCGACCUGAGAGGGUGAUCGGCCACACUGGGACUGAGACACGGCCCAGACUCCUACGGGAGGCAGCAGUAGGGAAUCUUCGGCAAUGGGGGCAACCCUGACCGAGCAACGCCGCGUGAGUGAAGAAGGUUUUCGGAUCGUAAAGCUCUGUUGUAAGUCAAGAACGAGUGUGAGAGUGGAAAGUUCACACUGUGACGGUAGCUUACCAGAAAGGGACGGCUAACUACGUGCCAGCAGCCGCGGUAAUACGUAGGUCCCGAGCGUUGUCCGGAUUUAUUGGGCGUAAAGCGAGCGCAGGCGGUUUGAUAAGUCUGAAGUUAAAGGCUGUGGCUCAACCAUAGUUCGCUUUGGAAACUGUCAAACUUGAGUGCAGAAGGGGAGAGUGGAAUUCCAUGUGUAGCGGUGAAAUGCGUAGAUAUAUGGAGGAACACCGGUGGCGAAAGCGGCUCUCUGGUCUGUAACUGACGCUGAGGCUCGAAAGCGUGGGGAGCGAACAGG